CUAUCACCUGAUUUUUUUUGGGUUCCACUAUUUGCACACAAACAGCACAGCUGGGAAAACACAGAGUCACCCAGCACAGGCUCUUCCCUGGAUCUUUCCCCUCCUCAGGGCAUCAGUUCAUCAGUCAACCAAGCCAUCUGAGAGCGGAAGAGCGAGUACUCUCUAACAUAGAAGUUCUUAUUCCUGCAUGCUUUUCUCAGAAGAGGGAAAAACAAGAAGAUCUCCUUUACAGAAAAGGGCUAAGAUGAGAAGAAACCACUCAAAGAAAAAGGCAAGACACCCUCCUGCCACUCCAGUGAGAAGCACAUGGAAAGGGAACUGUUCAGGAGAGGAGCACAGCUUGAUGUUGAAAAAGAAACUAAAGUCUUCCACUGCUGUGCACAGCAGUGAAAUCCAGGAGACCUGUGAUGCCCACCACAGAGGGCCUUUCAUGGUUCACACUAGCAGAGAAUACACUCUUGGAAUGAGAGCAAGAACCUGCUACUUCUCAGAUUCUUCCAAAGGACCAGCAGUGACAAUUCUAGAUGCACAGCAUUAAUACAUGAAAGACCCUGAAGCAGUCAUAGGAAAGGAGCUUGAACAACGUACUCAAAGCAGUGAGGGCUAAGAUUAUAAACAAAUUAUAUAUUUCUUGUUAGACAUUUGAUGUCUAUUGGAUGUCUCAUGACAGUCAUGCAUUUCUAUAUAAUCAGACAAAUACUAGGAUGUAAUCAUUCAUAUACCUUUUCAUAUUUUCAAUUAUAACAAAAUAAAUAUAAAAUUAUGUGCUUCUUUUUUAAUUCAGAAAAGUUUGUAACCUCUCACUCUCCCACACUGAACCCCUAGAACACUAAUAUCCACAAACAAUAAUACUCUUCAUGGGAAAAAUGUCAAUAUAGCUUUACAGUUUAAUAAAAUUAUGGUGAAAUCACCACACAAGGUGUUUACUAUGAAUAUUUUUAC
Molecule: long non-coding RNA, 942 nt
Filed under: Pongo abelii (Sumatran orangutan)
Lineage: Eukaryota; Metazoa; Chordata; Mammalia; Primates; Hominidae
Description: lncRNA (ENSPPYG00000040593.1)
Source: RNAcentral